UCUGAGCAUAAAGAAUUUCUUCUUAGAGAAAGAACUUGGAAGAACACAGGCUCCAGGGCCAAAGCAUCUACAGGUGGAUUGUCUACAAAGGGAAGAGCUUAUCUGAAAUUUGAGCUGCAAUCAAAAAUAAAGAUAUAUACCCAGGAGCGGAAUUGCUGGGUCAUGCUUUUGGUUUUGGUUUUGGUUCUUAGAGGAUUCUUGUGUGAGAGAAGAGGUUAGACUGGAGGCUUCCAUAGCUCUUCCACUGACGGAUUAGUUUAAAUUUAUCCCAUCAGGCAUCAGCAUUACCAUCUAACAUGAGGUCACUUCUCCAGAUGAAGGAGAGGUUGAAGUGUCACACCCAGCAUGAUCAGUUAGAUGAUGGAGAAAAGAGGCAUUUGCUACCUGACCUUAAUCUCCUGGGCAAGAAUGACUGAAUGGGGAAGGCCGAAUACAGAGAGACUCAAAGGUGGAGGAAAUCAGCAGAGUAUCAUUUAAAGAGACACAAAGCAGUAUGAAUGUUGACUCAUGACAAAAUGGACAUCCUCAGGAAUCCAUUUUGUUGUUUGUAUUUGUGGAGUUCAAUUGUGAGACAUCAAUUUAUCGUACCUGUGGAAAACUAGCAGAAGGUCCAGAGGAAAGCCAUGGAAAUGAUGAAGAACUAGGAAAAUGGAAUUCAACCAUGUAUCCUGGAGAGGUCUCUUGCUCUGGAGGUAACCAGACAUCAUGACAUGAAGAUGCACAAGCAGUCCCUGAGGAGAGGAAGUGAGGACUCUCACCAGCAGCCAGCACCAUGUAUGUGAACCAGGGGUGAAUGGGAUCCUCCAGCCGCAGCCAACCUCCAGGUGACUGCAGCGUUUGACUAUGACCUCAGGAGCAGAGGCCUCUUAAUGACCCAUCCAGAGGUCAGUGGUUCAAGGACUAUCUGUCUGUCAUGGACCAACACCUGGCAGAGAAAGCCCAGUAAUGGAGAAGGUGGAGC
This is a long non-coding RNA of Globicephala melas (long-finned pilot whale), 961 nucleotides long. RefSeq lists it as uncharacterized. Lineage: Eukaryota; Metazoa; Chordata; Mammalia; Artiodactyla; Delphinidae. The record is from RefSeq and is a predicted model, not a curated record.